CUAAUGAAAACCUUUUAUUGAUUGAACAUUGUGUAAAGUUUGAAACAUUACAAAGUUUUGAGAAGAAUAAUGACCUUUAGUCAAAAUCAAAAAUGUGUUGCGAUGAUCUUGAUGAUGAUAAUGUUAGUUAUUGUACAAGGUGAAUGCAAUGCUCAAUCUCAAGAUUUUAAGUUAAACAAGGGUGAUGAAUCUUGGUGUAUAUUGAAGUGUAGCUUAGUGUGUCACUUUGCUGAGGAUGUUAACGCCUGCGAGGCAGAUUGCAGAAAAACCAAAUGCUGACAUAACAUUGAGAAGGUUCUUUGUAUAAUCAAGGUGCUUGUGCAUUGAAGAGUUGCAUCAAUAAUAAAUAAAUAUUUCGUAUUCUUUACGAGAUAUGAUAUGUAAUAAAGUGGAAUUGUAAAAUUGACAUUAUGUUGAAUUUAAAUAAAUAUAUUAUUAUCCAUAAAA
Molecule: long non-coding RNA, 447 nt
Organism: Lathyrus oleraceus (garden pea)
Lineage: Eukaryota; Viridiplantae; Streptophyta; Magnoliopsida; Fabales; Fabaceae
Exons: 2
Source: RefSeq, a predicted model, not a curated record